RNAcentral lists this long non-coding RNA (1050 nucleotides) under Nicotiana benthamiana. Its description in RNAcentral is "long non-coding RNA (NBEN_LNC011499)". Lineage: Eukaryota; Viridiplantae; Streptophyta; Magnoliopsida; Solanales; Solanaceae. The record is from RNAcentral.
GCGUAAACUUUUGAAUGCCCAUCUUAAGGUAGACGCCAUUGUUGAGGAUGUCAUCAACGAGCACAAGAAAAAUCUUGCAGCUGGCAAGAGUAAUGGCGCAUUAGGAGGCGAAGAUCUAAUUGAUGUCCUACUAAGACUUAUGAAUGACACAAGUCUUCAAUUUCCCAUCACCAACGACAAUAUCAAAGCUGUUAUUGUUGUAAGUACUAUUCAAUACUACAAUCCUAUGCUUAUUCUUACUCCCACAUUCAUUGCCAUAGCUACAAUAUUUUAAAUUUUUUCUACAAAUAAGAAUCUCUUGUUAGAAAAUAAUCUAGUAUUGUAACUUGGCGAUUAUUAAUUUGCAGGACAUGUUUGCUGCUGGAACAGAAACUUCAUCAACAACAACUGUAUGGGCUAUGGCUGAAAUGAUGAAGAAUCCAAGAGUAUUCACCAAAGCUCAAGCAGAAGUGCGAGAAGCCUUUAGGGACAAAGUAUCUUUUGAUGAAAAUGAUGUGGAGGAGCUGAAAUACUUAAAGUUAGUCAUUAAAGAAACAUUGAGACUUCAUCCACCAUCAAGGACAAAGUAUCUUUCGAUGAAAAUGAUGCGGAGGAGCUGAAAUACUUAAAGCUAGUCAUUAAAGAAACUUUGAGACUUCAUCCGCCGUCUCCACUUUUGGUCCCAAGAGAAUGCAGGGAAGAUACGGAUAUAAACGGCUACACUAUUCCUGCAAAGACCAAAGUUAUGGUUAAUGUUUGGGCAUUGGGAAGAGAUCCAAAAUAUUGGGAUGAUGCAGAAAGCUUUAAACCAGAGAGAUUUGAGCAAUGCUCUCUGGAUUUUUAUGGUAAUAAUUUUGAGUUUCUUCCCUUUGGUGGUGGAAGGAGAAUUUGUCCUGGACGCGGAAAGCUUUAAGCCAGAGAGAUUUGAGCAAUGUUCUGUGGAUUUUUUUGGUAAUAAUUUUGAGUUUCUUCCCUUUGGUGGUGGCCGGAGAGUUUGUCCUGGAAUGUCAUUUGGUUUAGCAAAUCUUUACUUGCCAUUGGCUCAAUUGCUCUAUCACUUUGACUGGAAGC